GAACCUGAUCUGGGUAUUCAGGGGAACAUGACCUCAUGAGGUCUAUAUAACACCUUCUUUCUGACUGGCUCUCAUCAUUUUACUUCCAUAAGAGUAGCUUUAGUCUGUGGUUGCUUUCAGACUUACAAGACUCUAAACUUCUUUCCUAUCGUCUCUAUCAUGUGAUGAGGGCAGAAUCCAGUACUCUGUACCCCGGGACAAGGCAAACUGUCUACAAUGUGUACGUGGACCGUUACUCAAAAAAAUAGACUGGACUAUUUAACGUGGUAGAUUUACUCAAAAUACCAUCUGUGAUUCAUCAGUAAUCCACUCACAUUUUUGAUCACAGAAAAAUGGAUCGAGUAUUCCCCAAUAUUUUUUAUUCAUGGAAGACCUUCAGGGGAAAAGGAACCACAAGGUUAGGGUUCACAGAGGAUGUAGCCUUGGAACCUCGUCCAUCCCCACGAAACUUCCCUGGGCCAUUGUGUCCUCUCGCUUAGCUUCUCCUCUCACACAUCCACUGAUGCUUCCAACUCUCC
RNAcentral lists this long non-coding RNA (518 nucleotides) under Marmota monax (woodchuck). Lineage: Eukaryota; Metazoa; Chordata; Mammalia; Rodentia; Sciuridae. The record is from RNAcentral.